RNAcentral lists this ribosomal RNA (253 nucleotides) under uncultured bacterium. RNAcentral describes it as "partial 16S ribosomal RNA". It matches the Rfam family "Bacterial small subunit ribosomal RNA", at positions 524 to 776 of the family's 1533-position model. The record is from RNAcentral.
UACGAAGGGGGCUAGCGUUGUUCGGAAUUACUGGGCGUAAAGCGCGCGUAGGCGGUCAUCUUUGUCAGAGGUGAAAUCCCGAGGCUCAACUUCGGAAUUGCCUUUGAAACGGGAUCGCUUGAGUCCGAGAGAGGAUGGCGGAAUUCCUAGUGUAGAGGUGAAAUUCGUAGAUAUUAGGAAGAACACCGGUGGCGAAGGCGGCCAUCUGGCUCGGUACUGACGCUCAGGCGCGAAAGCGUGGGGAGCAAACAGG